Molecule: transfer RNA, 74 nt
Filed under: Spirochaetota bacterium
Lineage: Bacteria; Pseudomonadati; Spirochaetota
Description: Spirochaetes bacterium tRNA-Arg
Rfam family: tRNA
About the family: Transfer RNA (tRNA) molecules are approximately 80 nucleotides in length. Their secondary structure includes four short double-helical elements and three loops (D, anti-codon, and T loops). Further hydrogen bonds mediate the characteristic L-shaped molecular structure. tRNAs have two regions of fundamental functional importance: the anti-codon, which is responsible for specific mRNA codon recognition, and the 3' end, to which the tRNAs corresponding amino acid is attached (by aminoacyl-tRNA synthetases). tRNAs cope with the degeneracy of the genetic code in two manners: having more than one tRNA (with a specific anti-codon) for a particular amino acid; and 'wobble' base-pairing, i.e. permitting non-standard base-pairing at the 3rd anti-codon position.
Source: RNAcentral
GGGCAAUUAGCUCAGCUGGAUAGAGCGCUGGCCUCCGGAGCCAGAGGUCGAGGGUUCGAAUCCCCCAUUGCCCG